Molecule: small nuclear RNA, 192 nt
Filed under: Diplodia corticola
Lineage: Eukaryota; Fungi; Ascomycota; Dothideomycetes; Botryosphaeriales; Botryosphaeriaceae
Description: Botryosphaeria corticola U2 spliceosomal RNA
Rfam family: U2 spliceosomal RNA
About the family: U2 is a small nuclear RNA (snRNA) component of the spliceosome (involved in pre-mRNA splicing). Complementary binding between U2 snRNA (in an area lying towards the 5' end but 3' to hairpin I) and the branchpoint sequence (BPS) of the intron results the bulging out of an unpaired adenosine, on the BPS, which initiates a nucleophilic attack at the intronic 5' splice site, thus starting the first of two transesterification reactions that mediate splicing.
Source: Rfam by way of RNAcentral
CCAGCUCUCUUUGCCUUUUGGCUUAGAUCAAGUGUAGUAUCUGUUCUUUUCAGUUUAAUCUCUGAAACGUUCCUACGGGAACAUCAAGAUUAAUCUUGUUUUUGGAUUUGGGGUGGUGGCCUCUGAGCUUGCUCAUGUCAUUGCCCACUGUGUCGCCUGUAUUUGCACUGUCUCGGGCUGAUGCGAACUUGA